Long non-coding RNA from Amphimedon queenslandica, 236 nucleotides. RefSeq lists it as uncharacterized. The record is from RefSeq and is a predicted model, not a curated record. Lineage: Eukaryota; Metazoa; Porifera; Demospongiae; Haplosclerida; Niphatidae. The transcript is spliced from 2 exons.
AGAUAAAGAGAGAUCAGAAAUACAAGAGGCAGAGGAAGCAAGGUUGAGGAUAAUUUGGAAAUACCAAUCAGAACACGGACCAAGACGAGAUUGAUUUAAAUUUUAGGUGCAUGUUUAUUUUAUUUUGAGUAAUAAACUUAAAAUUUAUGGUUUACAUUUUUUUCAUGAUUAUACUGUGCACUUGUGAUGAGUGAUAUUUUAUAUUAUAGUCUUCACAUGCAUGAUGAUGUGUACUA